Molecule: small RNA, 2195 nt
Filed under: Pan troglodytes (chimpanzee)
Lineage: Eukaryota; Metazoa; Chordata; Mammalia; Primates; Hominidae
Description: retained intron
Source: RNAcentral
AGAUUGUUCCACCUGGUACAAAAGAAUAGGGGAGAGGAGUAAAGGCCAGGAUCCCAAAAGCUGGAUUCUUUUGGGAGAGAAAAGAUCCAGAGAGGAAAAUAUAUUACAUGUGAAUAUAGUUCAAGACAUCAUUCGCCAGGCCAUGCAGAGCAAACAUGAAGACAUGUUAAAAGCCAUGCCAUUUCCCGUACUAUCAUGGCUGUCAGCGGAAGGAGGAUUUUGAAGGGAGUCAAGAGAGGGAAUGACUGUCAACCAAGCAGAUACUUUAUGAGAGCAGCAAAAUUAUAUGAUUUUGUGAAGUGUUGCUACAUAAAUAUGAUAGCAACUUUUUCUACACAAAGGGUCUUAGGCAAAUCUGUAAUUUUUCCAGUAUACAUAAAAUUGUUCAGCCAUGUACUACUUAAAAUGUUCAUUGGUAUGCAGCAUACCGACCAUGUGUUGAGAAAUCCAGUUUGGGUAGACUCUAGAACAAAAAUAACUUUCUAAUACUUUUAGAAUAUAAAAAGACUGUUGUAUAUGUGUCAAGUUCACAAACAUAAAGAAUAAGGUUAUCAUUUAAAAGAAAGCUUUAUACAAAAUACUUUCAAUAAAGAGAUUAUUAAUAUUUGCUUUUGUGCUUUUUCUUUAGAUUUUAGCCUUCAUCCUAAUAAGAAACAUCCCUGGAUAUGCCCGUUCAGUUUACAGUUCAUUUUUUGCUUGGUUUGGAAAAAUUUCAUUAGAGCUAUUUAUUUGCCAGUAUCACAUAUGGCUGGCAGCGGAUACAAGGGGUAUCUUGGUACUGAUACCUGGAAACCCUAUGCUCAACAUCAUUGUCAGCACUUUCAUAUUUGUUUGUGUGGCACAUGAAAUUUCUCAGAUCACUAAUGAUCUUGCACAGAUUAUUAUUCCUAAAGAUAACUCAUCUCUCUUGAAAAGGUUGGCAUGUAUAGCUGCAUUUUUUUGUGGACUCCUCAUCUUAUCAUCCAUUCAAGAUAAAUCAAAACAUUAGGUUCCAAAAAUUCUAAAAAACCUAAACUCUUCAGGCUACCUUUGUGUGUCUCUAGAAGAGAAAAGCAUCUAUCUGGAGAUAUAAAUGUGUAUGUAAAUAUAAACGUUUUGGCAAGAGGACAGUUCUGUGACAUCUGUUAAACAUAUGUGGUUGUAUAUAUUGGAAAUGUACAUAUCCAAUGUGAAAUACUAAAACAAACAAACAAACAAAAAACCAGAAUGCAUUGUAUAGGAUUGCAUGUGAAGUCUUUUCUACUGAAUCUAUAUUUCCAUUUGUAAGUGAUUUUAAGUUAACAUAUGAAGGCAGGGAAAUGAUUACCUUUCCAGUAAAAAGUAUAGAUAAUUUAAUUAACUUAGUGACACCACCAAGUGUUUUGAUAUAACUAAAUUUGUGGUAAGAAGACUGUCUGCACCUGUAUUCAUUGUGGAACUUCCUCUUUCAUUGGAAACUUUCUUACUCAAGAAUGACGGCAGUAUUGUUUUCUUAUAUGUGCAAUGAAGUGGAAUGAUAAACAGUAUGCCUUUAAUUUAUAUGUGUUCUUGUUCUGAUGUUAUGUUUCCUGAAAUGAUUUUUCUUCCUAACUGUGGUUUUCAGGUAUGCAAGCCUAAAUCUUUGUACACUUUGUCUCACAGAAUAGUUCUGAGGCUCCAUGACAGGGUUUUGUCAUUGUUGAUGUUAUUGUUGCUUCUUUUUAUAAAAAAGCCAAAAAUUUUUUUCCAAUCCAAACGUUCACCUGUUUCCUUUCCUCAAGCUAUACCAGUGUAAUACCAGUUACCCUGUGGAUCCAUUUAAUAUGUUAUCCCCACUAAUUAAUUUUCGUAUAUUAUUUCCAAUAUUUGGAAAGCUCUUUAUAGCCAUUUGGUAUUUCCUAUUACCCACCUCCUAUUUUAAAUAUUUAUCAGUCUAAACUUGUGCAGUGUAGUAAACAUGCAAGUUGUUAUGAUUGAGCUGUAUUACCAUAAGUAGAAUUUUAAGUAAACUGGUGAAUUUGGGCAAUAAAUGUUUUUGCUUUUUGUUUGAUUUUUUUUUACAAGCUAACUUAGAGGUAUACAUUUAUUUAUCUGUUGUACAGAUUUGAUUAUGAUUUUAAUGUUUGAAAGAUUGCACUUGUUUGCUUUUACUAUGUGUGGGGUAAAAUAUAUUUUCUGUUCACAGUAUAUGAAAAUAUGGAGUAAUUUAAACAGUAAAUAAACAUUCUGUGGAUGCU